RNAcentral lists this ribosomal RNA (305 nucleotides) under uncultured bacterium. RNAcentral describes it as "bacterial SSU rRNA". It matches the Rfam family "Bacterial small subunit ribosomal RNA", at positions 337 to 659 of the family's 1533-position model. The record is from RNAcentral.
UCCUACGGGGGGCAGCAGUGGGGAAUAUUGCACAAUGGGGGAAACCCUGAUGCAGCGACGCCGCGUGAGUGAGGAAGUAUUUCGGUAUGUAAAGCUCUAUCAGCAGGGAAUAAAAUGACGGUACCUGACUAAGAAGCCCCGGCUAACUACGUGCCAGCAGCCGCGGUAAUACGUAGGGGGCAAGCGUUAUCCGGAUUUACUGGGUGUAAAGGGAGCGUAGACGGACUUGCAAGUCUGAUGUGACAAUCCGGGGCCCAACCCCGGAACUGCAUUGCAAACUGUAUAUCUAGAGUGUCGGAGAGGCA